This 670-nucleotide ribosomal RNA is filed under the name uncultured soil bacterium. Its description in RNAcentral is "bacterial SSU rRNA". It matches the Rfam family "Bacterial small subunit ribosomal RNA", at positions 32 to 692 of the family's 1533-position model. The record is from RNAcentral.
GACGCUGGCGGCGUGCUUAACACAUGCAAGUCGAGCGAGAUUUGACAGCGUAUCGUCAAGUCUAGCGGCAGACGGGUGAGUAAUAUUUGGGCAAUCUGCCCUUGAGUGGAGGACAACCGGCCGAAAGGCUGGCUAAUACUCCAUAAGACCACAGGGAUGCAUAUCCAAGGGGUCAAAGCUCCGCAAGGGGCGCUUGAGGAGGAGCCCGAAUCCUAUCAUGGUAGUUGGCGGGGUAAUGGCCCACCAAGCCGUUGACGGGUAGCCGGCCUGAAAGGGCAACCGGCCACACUGGCACUGAGACACGGGCCAGACUCCUACGGGAGGCAGCAGUGGGGAAUUUUGGACAAUGGGGGCAACCCUGAUCCAGCGACGCCGCGUGGAGGAUGAAGGUCUUCGGAUUGUAAACUCCUUUUGAUGGGGAUGAAUGGCCUGGUGAAUAGCCAGGAGUGACAGUACUCGUCGAAUAAGCCACGGCUAACUACGUGCCAGCAGCCGCGGUAAUACGUAGGUGGCAAGCGUUACUCGGAAUCACUAGGCGUAAAGCGCAGGUAGGAGGUUUGGUAAGUCUGUUGUGAAAGCUCCCGGCUCAACUGGGAGAGGUCAACGGAAACUGCCAGGCUGGAGUGCGGUAGAGGUAGCUGGAAUUCCCGGUGUAGCGGUGAAAUGCGUA